RNAcentral lists this ribosomal RNA (701 nucleotides) under Salmonella enterica subsp. enterica serovar Typhi. RNAcentral describes it as "partial 23S ribosomal RNA". It matches the Rfam family "Bacterial large subunit ribosomal RNA", at positions 1 to 640 of the family's 2925-position model. Lineage: Bacteria; Pseudomonadati; Pseudomonadota; Gammaproteobacteria; Enterobacterales; Enterobacteriaceae. The record is from RNAcentral.
GGUUAAGCGACUAAGCGUACACGGUGGAUGCCCUGGCAGUCAGAGGCGAUGAAGGGCGUGCUAAUCUGCGAUAAGCGCCGGUAAGGUGAUAUGAACCGUUAUAACCGGCGAUACCCGAAUGGGGAAACCCAGUGUGAUUCGUCACACUAUCAUUAACUGAAUCCAUAGGUUAAUGAGGCGAACCGGGGGAACUGAAACAUCUAAGUACCCCGAGGAAAAGAAAUCAACCGAGAUUCCCCCAGUAGCGGCGAGCGAACGGGGAGGAGCCCAGAGCCUGAAUCAGCAUGUGUGUUAGUGGAAGCGUCUGGAAAGGCGCGCGAUACAGGGUGACAGCCCCGUACACAAAAGCGCAUAUGCUGUGAGCUCGAUGAGUAGGGCGGGACACGUGGUAUCCUGUCUGAAUAUGGGGGGACCAUCCUCCAAGGCUAAAUACUCCUGACUGACCGAUAGUGAACCAGUACCGUGAGGGAAAGGCGAAAAGAACCCCGGCGAGGGGAGUGAAAAAGAACCUGAAACCGUGUACGUACAAGCAGUGGGAGCCCCACCACUAAGCCAGUGGUGAACUCCACAUACGCAUCCUUUGCUGAGGAGACGGUUAACGGAGCGAAAGCGACGUUCAACCUCAAAAGAAGCAGAGGGGGCUUAGUGGUGGGGUGACUGCGUACCUUUUGUAUAAUGGGUCAGCGACUUAUAUUCUGUAG